UACGUAGGUGGCAAGCGUUAUCCGGAUUUACUGGGUGUAAAGGGCGUGUAGGCGGGAAAGCAAGUCAGAUGUGAAAACCAUGGGCUCAACCUGUGGCCUGCAUUUGAAACUGUUUUCCUUGAGUACUGGAGAGGCAGACGGAAUUCCUAGUGUAGCGGUGAAAUGCGUAGAUAUUAGGAGGAACACCAGUGGCGAAGGCGGUCUGCUGGACAGCAACUGACGCUGAGGCGCGAAAGCGUGGGGAGCAAACAGG
Molecule: ribosomal RNA, 253 nt
Filed under: uncultured bacterium
Lineage: Bacteria
Description: partial 16S ribosomal RNA
Rfam family: Bacterial small subunit ribosomal RNA
Source: RNAcentral